This is a non-coding RNA of Picea glauca (white spruce), 74 nucleotides long. NCBI's taxonomy places the organism in Eukaryota, Viridiplantae, Streptophyta, Pinopsida, Pinales, Pinaceae. The record is from Rfam.
GGUGCUGUGGUGUAGUCGGUUAUCACGUCAGUCUUACACACUGAAGGUCCCCAGUUCGAACCUGGGCAACACCA